RNAcentral lists this unclassified non-coding RNA (48 nucleotides) under Saccharomyces cerevisiae (brewer's yeast). The record is from RNAcentral. Lineage: Eukaryota; Fungi; Ascomycota; Saccharomycetes; Saccharomycetales; Saccharomycetaceae.
ACAUUUUUUUCGUUUGUUAGAAUAAUUCAAGAAUCGCUACCAAUCAUG